RNAcentral lists this ribosomal RNA (814 nucleotides) under uncultured bacterium. RNAcentral describes it as "bacterial SSU rRNA". It matches the Rfam family "Bacterial small subunit ribosomal RNA", at positions 105 to 895 of the family's 1533-position model. The record is from RNAcentral.
GGUGAGUAACACGUAGGUAACCUACCCCUGAGUGGUGGAUAACCCUCCGAAAGGAGGGCUAAUACAGCAUAAGACCACGAUUCCUUCGGGAGUCGUGGCCAAAGCGGGCCUCUUCACGAAAGCUCGCGCUUGGGGAUGGGCCUGCGGCCCAUCAGCUAGUUGGUGAGGUAACGGCUCACCAAGGCUAAGACGGGUAGCUGGUCUGAGAGGAUGAACAGCCACACUGGAACUGAGACACGGUCCAGACUCCUACGGGAGGCAGCAGUGGGGAAUCUUGCGCAAUGGGCGAAAGCCUGACGCAGCGACGCCGCGUGAGUGAUGAAGGCCCUCGGGUUGUAAAGCUCUGUGGGGAGAGAAGAAUAAGUGCGGGCUAAUAUCCCGCAUGAUGACGGUAUCUCCUUAGCAAGCACCGGCUAACUCUGUGCCAGCAGCCGCGGUAAGACAGAGGGUGCAAACGUUGUUCGGAAUUACUGGGCGUAAAGCGCGUGUAGGCGGCAGGGCAUGUCGGAUGUGAAAGCCCAUGGCUCAACCAUGGAAGUGCACCCGAAACUGCCCAGCUCGAGUCUCGGAGAGGAAGGCGGAAUGCUUGGUGUAGAGGUGAAAUUCGUAGAUAUCAAGCAGAACACCGGUGGCGAAGGCGGCCUUCUGGACGAUGACUGACGCUGAGACGCGAAAGCGUGGGGAGCAAACAGGAUUAGAUACCCCGGUAGUCCACGCCCUAAACGAUGUCUACUAGUUGUUGGAAGGAGUGAAAUCCUUUAAUAACGAAGCUAACGCGUGAAGUAGACCGCCUGGGGAGUACGGUCGCAAGAUU